AUUGAACGUUGGCGGCAUGCUUAACACAUGCAAGUCGAACGGCAGCACAGUACGUAGCAAUACGUAUGGGUGGCGAGUGGCGGACGGGUGAGUAACGCGUAGGAAUCUGCCUUGAAGCGGGGGACAACCCGAGGAAACUCGGGCUAAUACCGCAUAAUAUCGAGAGGUUAAAGCUGGGGCAACCUGGCACCUCAAGAGGAGCCUGCGUACGAUUAGCUAGUUGGUAGGGUAAAGGCCUACCAAGGCGAUGAUCGUUAACUGGUCUGAGAGGAUGAUCAGUCACACUGGAACUGAGACACGGUCCAGACUCCUACGGGAGGCAGCAGUGGGGAAUAUUGGACAAUGGGGGCAACUCUGAUCCAGCAAUGCCGCGUGUGUGAAGAAGGCCUUCGGGUUGUAAAGCACUUUUGGCAGGGAGGAAGAUGUGGAGUUUAAGAGACACUACAUUUGACUGUACCUGCAGAAUAAGCACCGGCUAACUCUGUGCCAGCAGCCGCCGUAA
This 502-nucleotide ribosomal RNA is filed under the name uncultured bacterium. RNAcentral's name for it is "partial 16S ribosomal RNA". It matches the Rfam family "Bacterial small subunit ribosomal RNA", at positions 30 to 523 of the family's 1533-position model. The record is from RNAcentral.